CAAAAAGAAAAGUCAUACAACAUUGUCAAGGUACUUAAUGCCACUGACUUGUACACUUAAAAUGGUUAAAAGGGAAAAAAGGUCAUUCUUGUGUUCCUGUAUCUUACCACAAUUUUUACAAAAGAAACAGAAACUAAAUCUCGUCAGGAGCAAAAAGUCAGAUAAACCCAAAAUUUUGGAUCAUUCUCCAGAAAAACUGACCUCCACUCUUCAAAAAUGUCAAGAUCAUAAAAGGACAAAAAAGGUUUGAGGUACCUAUAAGGAGCUACUGAUGCCUUCUGGAAACUAUGUGUGGGCUGCUAAUGAGAGAACAUGACCAUUUGCUGUGACUGUGUUAGUCAAGUGAUAGACAGAGAUCGCCCCAGCAAGUGCCUCCUGAGGACGGGUUCCAGCCCCAACCCUCGAUCAUAUCAAGCACAACUUCCGCUAUUAAUCUCGGUAAUGAUGGUCCAGGUGUAACAAAUCCCACCUGAUUGAAAGCAGCAGGGGUAGAUGUGUUAACUUUUAUAAAAACAUAGGUACAAGGUAUAAGAUUGGGAUUCUGAUUCUUGGCUCCUCAAAGGCCUGAAGAAUGAAGAUUGAUGCCAUCUAAAAGCAAAUUAGAAGACUUUGCCCAGGCCCAGGCCCCGGAAUAGUGUACUGGAGAUGACACUGUGUUUAGAGUGCCGUUUCAGGUUAAAUCAGCAUCCCUGCAAUGUGCCAGACCUAUUGUCACAGCAAUAUGUACCCCGGUUCACACACAGAAUGUUUGCUCUCUGGCAGCCAAAUGCACUUGGAACUGGCAGUAAUGACCUCACAAAAGCAGGAAAGCUGAGCAGUUAGUCAGAUGAUUAACAAGGUAUUGAGAUGGAAGAGUUGGGUAUCACUUAAUGGAAAUAUCUUGGCAUCUCAGAAUCAAAGUUUCCAAACUCGGAGGCAGUUUAGGAACCAUCAUAUCCAAAAUCCUUGCUUUACAAAUGUGGCAACUGAGGCUUAAAAAAAAAGACAGGUCUCAGGGCUCCUUGCCUGAACAAAGUUAAAGUGUAUUUCUUCCAAUACAA
Molecule: long non-coding RNA, 1040 nt
Organism: Sapajus apella (tufted capuchin)
Lineage: Eukaryota; Metazoa; Chordata; Mammalia; Primates; Cebidae
Exons: 2
Source: RefSeq, a predicted model, not a curated record